RNAcentral lists this ribosomal RNA (253 nucleotides) under uncultured bacterium. RNAcentral describes it as "partial 16S ribosomal RNA". It matches the Rfam family "Bacterial small subunit ribosomal RNA", at positions 524 to 776 of the family's 1533-position model. The record is from RNAcentral.
UACGUAGGGCGCAAGCGUUGUCCGGAAUUAUUGGGCGUAAAGAGCUCGUAGGCGGUCUGUUACGUCUGCUGUGAAAACCCGGGGCUUAACCCUGGGCUUGCAGUGGAUACGGGCAGACUAGAGGCAGGUAGGGGAGAAUGGAAUUCCCGGUGUAGCGGUGAAAUGCGCAGAUAUCGGGAGGAACACCGGUGGCGAAGGCGGUUCUCUGGGCCUGACCUGACGCUGAGGAGCGAAAGCGUGGGGAGCGAACAGG